UACGGAGGGUGCAAGCGUUAUCCGGAUUUACUGGGCUUAAAGGGUGCGUAGGUGGGUCUGUAAGUCAGUGGUGAAAUCUCCGGGCUUAACCCGGAAACUGCCAUUGAUACUAUAGAUCUUGAAUAUCCUGGAGGUGAGCGGAAUAUGUCAUGUAGCGGUGAAAUGCUUAGAUAUGACAUAGAACACCAAUUGCGAAGGCAGCUCACUACGGGAUCAUUGACACUGAGGCACGAAAGCGUGGGGAUCAAACAGG
Molecule: ribosomal RNA, 253 nt
Filed under: uncultured bacterium
Lineage: Bacteria
Description: partial 16S ribosomal RNA
Rfam family: Bacterial small subunit ribosomal RNA
Source: RNAcentral